Molecule: ribosomal RNA, 253 nt
Filed under: uncultured bacterium
Lineage: Bacteria
Description: partial 16S ribosomal RNA
Rfam family: Bacterial small subunit ribosomal RNA
Source: RNAcentral
UACGAAGGGGGCUAGCGUUGCUCGGAAUUACUGGGCGUAAAGCGCACGUAGGCGGUCUUUUACGUCGGUGGUGAAAUCCUGGAGCUCAACUCCAGAACUGCCUUCGAUACUGGAAGACUUGAGUCCGGGAGAGGUGAGUGGAACUGCGAGUGUAGAGGUGAAAUUCGUAGAUAUUCGCAAGAACACCAGUGGCGAAGGCGGCUCACUGGCCCGGUACUGACGCUGAGGUGCGAAAGCGUGGGGAGCAAACAGG